This 66-nucleotide transfer RNA is filed under the name Ptinus rufipes. RNAcentral describes it as "tRNA-Arg". Lineage: Eukaryota; Metazoa; Arthropoda; Insecta; Coleoptera; Ptinidae. The record is from RNAcentral.
GAAUAAGAAGCAAAAAAAUAUUGCAGCUAAUUUCGACCUAGCCCUUGAUUUUAAAAUCCUUAUUUA